AGCCUUCCUUAAUCAGGCUAAUAUUAGGCCAUUUGUUUUCCUAAUACCCGUUGACCAGAGCUUGCCUUGCAGCGCGUUGAGUGUUGAUUGGUGGCUUGGUGCAUCUGCCAUCUGUUUGCCAUAUAAGGGCAUGAUUUUAGAUCUGCUGGACUGUUGUUAUUGUUGAAAUUAACGUUAGAGUAACUAUAUGUGUGUCAGCUUUUAUAAUCGUUAUCUUAAAUGCAUUCAUAUGAUUGACUU
RNAcentral lists this long non-coding RNA (240 nucleotides) under Aquilegia coerulea. Its description in RNAcentral is "long non-coding RNA (ACOE_LNC000797)". Lineage: Eukaryota; Viridiplantae; Streptophyta; Magnoliopsida; Ranunculales; Ranunculaceae. The record is from RNAcentral.